AUGUUAAUGAUAAGAAAUGGUUAUAGCUUGUAUCCAGUGUCUUUACCCGAAGGAUUGCGACCUACAGCGUUUUCUCAAAUUGAAUUGUUGAAUCUUCAUGAGGGAAAUAUUGGAUUUCACAAUUUUAUCAAUGUAAUUGGUUCUGCAAAUGAUGAAUGUUUCAGGCGGCCUGGUUUUAGUUUUCCAGAACAACACAUCAUCUCAAAUCAAACUGUCUUGGAAAAUCUAGAUAAUUUUGAGGCCUCAUGA
Molecule: non-coding RNA, 249 nt
Organism: Vicia faba (fava bean)
Lineage: Eukaryota; Viridiplantae; Streptophyta; Magnoliopsida; Fabales; Fabaceae
Source: the annotation of a GenBank genome assembly